This is a long non-coding RNA of Peromyscus californicus insignis, 892 nucleotides long. RefSeq lists it as uncharacterized. The transcript is spliced from 3 exons. Lineage: Eukaryota; Metazoa; Chordata; Mammalia; Rodentia; Cricetidae. The record is from RefSeq and is a predicted model, not a curated record.
CUUGACCCGAGAAAUGGUUGAGAAGAAAAUAAAUAAAGGCGAAGGUUAAAUACACGCAGCACCAGUGCAGAUUGAAGAGAUGCCUUGAGAGGCAAGUAAGAAAAAUUAAGACUGAUUUCCUAUGCUGAUUUCCAUAGUGGAUACAUUGAUGUAUAUGUCCAACAAUGAUUGGACUCCUGGAGCCCCGCCUGGGAGCCAGCUGUGGAUCUCUGCGUCUGCUUCCAUCAGUCAUUGGAUGAGAGUUCUAUCAUGACAGUUAGGGUAUUCAGCUAUCCGAUCUCCAGAGUAGGUCAGCUCAGGCACCCUCUCGACCAUUGCCAGUAGUCUAUAAUGGAAUCAUCUUUGUGGAUUCCUGGGAACCUCUCUAGUACUCUGCUUCUUCCUAUUCCCAUGGUGUCUUUAUUUAUCAUGGUAUCUCUUUCCUUGUUCUCCCACUCUGUUCCUGAUCCAGCUGUGACCUCCCACUCCCCUAAGCUCUCUUUCCCUCGACCUUGCCUUCCAUUACCCCCCCUCACGCCCAGUUUGCUCCUGUAGAUCUCAUCCAUUUCUCCAUCACUGGGCCUGUUUGUUUUCCAAUGAGAGAGAAAAAAAGAUGUGGGUUUUUGAUGGGAAGGGAGGAUCUGGGAGGAACUGGGGCAAGGGAAACAAUUAUUAGAAUAUAUUGUAUUUUAAAAAGCCUAUUUUCAAUAUAGAAAUAAAGGAUAAAAGGAAUGAACUACAAAAUAAUGUUCAGAAUGUGUCAUGGCUACUUGCUUACUGCUCUUAUCUAGAUAUACAGAGAGUGAGCAACAUGUGGAGCAGAAAAGACAUGAAAGUGUGUCACUUGAUUGAGAAGUGAAUGAAUUUAAACUUAUAGACCAGCAAGGCAGUUGAGACCACAGCUGCGAUUGCU